RNAcentral lists this ribosomal RNA (1435 nucleotides) under Lactiplantibacillus plantarum. Its description in RNAcentral is "bacterial SSU rRNA". It matches the Rfam family "Bacterial small subunit ribosomal RNA". The record is from RNAcentral. Lineage: Bacteria; Bacillati; Bacillota; Bacilli; Lactobacillales; Lactobacillaceae.
GUCGAACGAACUCUGGUAUUGAUUGGUGCUUGCAUCAUGAUUUACAUUUGAGUGAGUGGCGAACUGGUGAGUAACACGUGGGAAACCUGCCCAGAAGCGGGGGAUAACACCUGGAAACAGAUGCUAAUACCGCAUAACAACUUGGACCGCAUGGUCCGAGUUUGAAAGAUGGCUUCGGCUAUCACUUUUGGAUGGUCCCGCGGCGUAUUAGCUAGAUGGUGAGGUAACGGCUCACCAUGGCAAUGAUACGUAGCCGACCUGAGAGGGUAAUCGGCCACAUUGGGACUGAGACACGGCCCAAACUCCUACGGGAGGCAGCAGUAGGGAAUCUUCCACAAUGGACGAAAGUCUGAUGGAGCAACGCCGCGUGAGUGAAGAAGGGUUUCGGCUCGUAAAACUCUGUUGUUAAAGAAGAACAUAUCUGAGAGUAACUGUUCAGGUAUUGACGGUAUUUAACCAGAAAGCCACGGCUAACUACGUGCCAGCAGCCGCGGUAAUACGUAGGUGGCAAGCGUUGUCCGGAUUUAUUGGGCGUAAAGCGAGCGCAGGCGGUUUUUUAAGUCUGAUGUGAAAGCCUUCGGCUCAACCGAAGAAGUGCAUCGGAAACUGGGAAACUUGAGUGCAGAAGAGGACAGUGGAACUCCAUGUGUAGCGGUGAAAUGCGUAGAUAUAUGGAAGAACACCAGUGGCGAAGGCGGCUGUCUGGUCUGUAACUGACGCUGAGGCUCGAAAGUAUGGGUAGCAAACAGGAUUAGAUACCCUGGUAGUCCAUACCGUAAACGAUGAAUGCUAAGUGUUGGAGGGUUUCCGCCCUUCAGUGCUGCAGCUAACGCAUUAAGCAUUCCGCCUGGGGAGUACGGCCGCAAGGCUGAAACUCAAAGGAAUUGACGGGGGCCCGCACAAGCGGUGGAGCAUGUGGUUUAAUUCGAAGCUACGCGAAGAACCUUACCAGGUCUUGACAUACUAUGCAAAUCUAAGAGAUUAGACGUUCCCUUCGGGGACAUGGAUACAGGUGGUGCAUGGUUGUCGUCAGCUCGUGUCGUGAGAUGUUGGGUUAAGUCCCGCAACGAGCGCAACCCUUAUUAUCAGUUGCCAGCAUUAAGUUGGGCACUCUGGUGAGACUGCCGGUGACAAACCGGAGGAAGGUGGGGAUGACGUCAAAUCAUCAUGCCCCUUAUGACCUGGGCUACACACGUGCUACAAUGGAUGGUACAACGAGUUGCGAACUCGCGAGAGUAAGCUAAUCUCUUAAAGCCAUUCUCAGUUCGGAUUGUAGGCUGCAACUCGCCUACAUGAAGUCGGAAUCGCUAGUAAUCGCGGAUCAGCAUGCCGCGGUGAAUACGUUCCCGGGCCUUGUACACACCGCCCGUCACACCAUGAGAGUUUGUAACACCCAAAGUCGGUGGGGUAACCUUUUAGGAACCAGCCGCCUAAG